AAACGACUCUCGGCAACGGAUAUCUCGGCUCUCGCAUCGAUGAAGAACGUAGCGAAAUGCGAUACUUGGUGUGAAUUGCAGAAUCCCGUGAAUCAUCGAGUUUUUGAACGCAAGUUGCGCCCGAAGCCUUCUGGCCGAGGGCACGUCUGCCUGGGUGUCACGC
RNAcentral lists this ribosomal RNA (163 nucleotides) under Viola shinchikuensis. RNAcentral's name for it is "5.8S ribosomal RNA". It matches the Rfam family "5.8S ribosomal RNA". From Rfam's summary of the family: 5.8S ribosomal RNA (5.8S rRNA) is a component of the large subunit of the eukaryotic ribosome. The record is from RNAcentral. Lineage: Eukaryota; Viridiplantae; Streptophyta; Magnoliopsida; Malpighiales; Violaceae.